Molecule: long non-coding RNA, 1962 nt
Filed under: Homo sapiens (human)
Lineage: Eukaryota; Metazoa; Chordata; Mammalia; Primates; Hominidae
Description: non-protein coding lnc-ZNF487-5:1
Source: RNAcentral
GACCUGAUGGAGAAGAACCAGGAAAACCAAGACCAGCAUUUGAGGAAAGCUGGUUUUGUCAACAACAAAAUACUGAUGGAAGACAGAAAUAGUGUUUUAGGAGAAACAUUUAAUAUAAAUUCAAACCUUGUUCCAAUGAGAAAAAUACCUGAUAAAUAUGACUUAUGUAUAAUGAACGUGAAUUAUAUUUCAGAAUUAAUUGUUAGUAAUAGAAACUCCUUUGGAAGGAAGCUUGAUGAGCUCAGUGCACAUGCGAAAUUGCUCCUUCAUAUGACAUGAGCAUCCUUAUGCCAGAGAGAAACAUUUUGAGUGUGACAGAAAUGAGAAAGCCAUCUGUUAGAAUGAGGACUUAUUUCAGCAUCAGGAUAUUCAAACUCUGAAGCAAAUUUUUGAAUACCUUGAGUGUGGGAAAGCUUUUCAUGAGGAGGCAGCCUUCAGUACCCAUAAGAGAGUGUGCUUCUGGGAGAAACCUUGUGAAUAUAAUGAACAACUAAGAGCCUUUUCUGACAAUCCAAACCUCCUUGUUCAUCAGAGUACUCACAGAAGGGAAAAUCACUACGAGUUUAAUUGCUGUGGGAGGAGGUCUGUUGGUGAGAAAUCUCUAAAUAAACACCAUGGAGGAAUCAUGGGGAAAAAAUACUAUGAGUGUGAGAAUAAUUUUGGCAAAAGUCACUCUUUAUUGACACUGAAAGAACUCAAAAAGGAAAAACAAGCUUUGAAUGUAAUGAAGGUAGGGAAAUCUUUAAGAAACCAAGUCUCUCUCAACAGCAUACAUACGCAGAAAAGAAAACCUUUCAAAAUAGUCAUUAUGGGAGUUCUUUUUGGCAUAUGUCAGUUCUCCCUAAACAUCAGCAAACACACGUAGGAGGAAAGUUCUAUGAAUGUAAUGAGUGUGGGAAAGCUCUCAGCCACAGUUCAUCUAUCAUAGUACAUAAUAGGAUAUACACAGGGGAGAAACUUUAUGAAUGUACUGAAUGUGAGAAAACCUUCACAAAUAGGUCAGGCCUUACAGUUCAUUGGCAGAUACACACAGGGCAAAAACCCUAAGAAUGUAUUGAAUGUGUCAUGCACAUUCGAUACAUACAAAUGCAAAGUGUCAUUAGGUUAUGUGACUUAUAUCUGAAGGGAAGCCUUUAGAUAUAAGUCAGUCCUUACAGUACAUCAGUACAUCAGAGAACACACACAGGUGAUAAACCCAAUGAGUGUAGUGAAUGUGGGAAAAAAUUCUGUGAGAAGUCAUAUCUCCAAGUACAUCAGAGAACUCACACAGGGGAGAAAUCCCAUGAGGGUAAAGAAUGUGGAAAAACCUUUGUUUACAAUUCAUUCCUCAUAGUACAUCAAAGGAUACACAUAGGUGUAAGACCCUAUUAAUGUAACGAAUGUGGGAAAACAUUCUCACAAAAGCCAGACUUCACUUAUCAUCAGAGAACUCAUACUGGAGAAAGGCCCUGUGAAUGUAAUGAAUGUGGGAAGUCUUUCUCAGUGAAGUCAAAACUUAUUGUGCAUCAGAGAACUCACACAGGGGAAAAACCCUAUGAAUGUAAUGAAUGUGGGAAAACCUUUUCCCAGAAGUCAUCUCUUACAGUACAUCAGAGAACACACACAGGGGAGAAACCAUAUAAAUGUAAUGCAUGUGGGAAAAGUUUUUCCCAGAAGUUAUCCCUUACUGUACAUCAAAAAAGACAUAAAAAGAGAAGCCAUAUAAAUGUAUUCAAUGCAGCAAAACAUUUAACCAGAAAUCAGCACUUACUAAACAUCAAAGAGCUCAGGAGAGAAACUUCAUAAAUAUAAUGAAUGCAGCAAAACUUUUUACCACAAGUCAUCCCUCACAGUACAUCAGAGAACCCACACAGGAGAGAAACCCUACAAAUGUAAUGAAUGUGAGAAGACUUUCUACCAGAAGUCAUCACUUAUAGCACAUCAGAAAACACACAGAAGGCAGAAAUCCUGUGAAUCUACAAA